UACAAGGCAGCUGUGUUAACAGCGUGAAAUGGGGAAAAAAGGCCGGCCAUAUUCAUUACCAACGCAAAUGCUUUCGACAAAAGGCGCAAUUGUCAUAAUCUUGUUCGGCAAAGUUGUACGGAACAAAGCAUACGGGGUAGUCUUACAACGCAUUCUUUUGUAUUUUUUAUCGUAAACCGAUCUCGCUUUGUGGCACGCGGCCACAUGCAAUGUUUGCUUGCAAACCAAACCGGCCAGUUCUACAGCCCACGAACCUGUGGGACCGCAAUGAUGAAAAACUCCUCCACAGCCAAUCAACAACACACAACCACCGACGACGACCAACGCAGACGCAAAACUGGGAGCAACCGCGGGGAGCCAUUGGCAGCGUCUUCAAGCGCGGAGGGCGAUGGACGUCGUCUAAAUCCACGCCUCACCUGUGCCGACACCGCCGGCGCCUCCUCCUGCCACACCGGAGUGGAGCGCCACCUUCUCCAGCCGAGCGGUCACCUUCUCCAGCCGAUUCACAAGUCCGUCCAGCUGCGCCAUCCUGCCACGGAGCCGCCUACUGUGGAUAGGAAGGAAACGGCGCGAUGAUCUUCCAUCCAGAGGAAUUUCGUCUCAACGGAUUGUCACCUGAUAAUGCAGUCGAUGUGUCUACAGGUAUAAGGAGGUGCAUGUAUUCAAUACAUGAAUAUAAGCUAUACCUCAGUGUUCUCAUAAUGUCCAUGCUCAUAUGAAUAGUUGGUUCACUGGUAUCGGAACAUAAAGAGAAAGGAAGGCAGUUGGCUCUUCCAUUAUUUAUACAAAGGAACAAGCCACGUGCUAUGCCGUCUCGUGAAUAGCAAUUGGUCGAAUAAUCCAUUGCAGGACCCUCCUGAAAAAAACAGUCUUGAGACUCGUUGUGGCUUUCCUCGAUCGUCAUCAUCAUCAUCAUCAACAGAGGUGACCAAUCCACUUUUUGGAUAAAGGCCUCGGUCUUGUGAAGCAUCGAUCCAUUUGGAACAUGCAAAUGAGCAGAUUUUACCACUUAAUUUCCACGCUGGAUGUCUUCUCGGAUGCAUUUCCCUCCUUCGGCUGCCACUCCAUCAUGAGUCUUGACCACCGGCGAUCGUCCGUACUAGCAGCGUGUCUUACUCAAGCCCACUUACAUGUAUUUUGUAACUGUCAAUAUGACUACAUCAAUGUGUCCCUCCCGUAAUUCCAAAUAUGUACAUCUGCAUGCUUCUUUCCGUACGCUGACAAAGAUAAUGGAAUAAAAUAUUUGAACAGUACGCCAAAAACAGCAUGGAGGAGUGUAUACUUCGCACGAGCUGUCCUGAGCCGGUGAUGGAAAUUCCACAUUGCUACGGCAGAGACCAGUUUACCCAAAUGUUGAAAUUCACCCACGUGAAGACUAUUUUUCGACAUUUUUGGGGAAUGUGGACUGAAUUGUUUAAUGGCCUCCAAAAUAAGACCACAUUUACUCCAUUGGCCAACUGAACUUCCUGAUUGAAUGCAUCGCAGGAUAAUUUUGGGUCAAAGUUAAUUUCCUCGUUCUAAAUGUGCAUCUGACAGGAAACCAGAGUGCUCACAGAACAAACCACGCAUGAGACGGAAGAGCAUUGACCACACUUACACGCACAGCCAGUUCGUUCUACAGCUCAUGCUAACUGCCAUUUCCCCUCCCCAAAAUAUUAAAGUCCUAUUUCAGGUCUAAACGUUCUGGAAAGAGCCCCGGAUAGAUGUUUGGUGCUGUGUGAAGUACCGGUAUGACAUAUGCCCCCGUUUCACGGGCCGUGUCGCGACAGCUCUGUCAGUCCACUGCUGGAUGAGGGCCUCCCCACACCACAUGGGCAGUGGGCGGUUAUUUGAUCAUACUUCCCAUGGUGGUCGGUGUGGAUUGAAGGUGGGGAACUCGCUACUGCGACCAUUGUCCCAAACAUCGAUCAUUAUAUCUCUAUUUCAUUUAAAGGCAGUGUUAUUAACGAAUGUGUUGAGUUUUCUCGUUACAUUCCGGAAGCUUUACAGACGUGAUCUCAGCGCGAUCCAUCAACCCUGUCUGGGGCCGGGUCCCGGGCUAAAAGGCAUUAUCCACCAUGCCAGAAACAAGCCGACGCUUAGUUACCUGAACGUGGAUUGAGUCUCCCUUAGGUAGACUCUGCCGAAAAUGAGUAGCACAUGGUGUCAGCAUUGGUUAUCAUUACCAAUCCUGGGAAAACAAAGGCGGUGGGGUGUGGAUGUUGUGGGCCACACCACCUCUUGUAACGUGAUGGCCUGAACAGAGGUUCACCGGCUAAACUUUACAAACAACAAUAACAUUAAUGUCAUCGUUUUACCCAGGAAAGCCUCGUUGAGUUUCAAGAGGGGCCCGCUGCAUUGCGAUGUGUGGCCAAUUCCACCAACAAAUUCGUGGCUUCGAGUGGGAGGAAACCAGAGGCAGGCAAAACCCCACCACAACACACGAGCAGGUUACACUGAAAGCUCCACACAGAUUGAUUCAGGAAUUACAUUUUAUAAUGGCAACCGAGCAUGACAAACAUCCCAUUAAAAUACCGCUUGAGAAGGAAAAUGCAAUCAAUUUGAAAAAUACACCGGUGAAGCUGAGCCUUUCGUGUUUGACGCGUGAUUGUGAUAUUAAACCACAAAUUGGAACGCGCACUUUUGUAUACCAAUGAAUAUAUUUAUUAAAAAGAUCGAUAACCUUAUGAACAUACCGACUGUUAACAAACGUAUGUAGAAUGUAGCAUAAAUGCUUGCACUAUGCCUAACUCACAUAUGCGUCGUGUGGAAGCAGGGCUGUGUAAUUUAAUAACUUAAUGCUUUCAUACAUUAUAAAUGUUAAUAGCCCCUAGCCAACAAGGAAAUGGAAAUGGUUUUUGUUGUUGCAAAGACCUUUAUGUCAUUUUUUGACAUGCAAUAAUUGUAGGCAAUUACCGUGGUAGUAGCGUAGCGAUGAUACAGUGGUUAGAGCCAAGCGUUAUAAACCCAGCCACCUGAGUUCGAUUUUAGGCCAAGGUGAGUUUUAGUGGCGAAUGACACCUGAAGCGGUACUGAAGCCUCUAUCUUCACCAUCCAUCGUGUGACCAGCGUGGUGAAGUAUGGUCAAAAAAGCCCCAUGAUCAACAUAUCAUUGAGAGGCUUGCAACCAGCAAGGCAGUGACAGAGGGACUAUCAAUAAUGCAUUGUUUCCAUGGUGUAACGAUGGUACUGUACUUACACAUUACCACGUUAAUUAAAACAAUAUAAUACCAUCA
Petromyzon marinus (sea lamprey) is the source of this 3215-nucleotide non-coding RNA. Lineage: Eukaryota; Metazoa; Chordata; Hyperoartia; Petromyzontiformes; Petromyzontidae. The record is from RefSeq and is a predicted model, not a curated record.